Molecule: ribosomal RNA, 440 nt
Filed under: uncultured bacterium
Lineage: Bacteria
Description: partial 16S ribosomal RNA
Rfam family: Bacterial small subunit ribosomal RNA
Source: RNAcentral
CCUACGGGGGGCAGCAGUGGGGAAUAUUGGUCAAUGGGCGCAACCCUGAUCCAGCGACGCCGCGUGAGUGAAGAAGUCUUUCGGUAUGUAAAGCUCUAUUAGCAGGGAAGAAAAUGACGGUACCUGACUAAGAAGCGCCGGCUCAAUACGUGCCAGCAGCCGCGGUAAUACGUAGGGGGCACGAGUUAUCCGGAGUUAUUGGGUGUAAAGGGGGCGUAGAGGGUGAAGCAAGUCUGAUGGGAAAUGUCGGGGCCCAACCCCGGGACGGCAUUUGAAACUGUUGCACUUGAGUAUAGGAGAGGUAAGCGGAAUUCCUUGUGUAGCGGUGAAAUGCGUAGAUAUUAGGAAGAACACCAGUGGCGAAGGCGGCUUACUGGACUGCAACUGAUGUUGAGGCACGAAAGCGUGGGGAGCAAACAGGAUUAGAUACCCGUGUAGUC